This 468-nucleotide ribosomal RNA is filed under the name uncultured bacterium. RNAcentral's name for it is "partial 16S ribosomal RNA". It matches the Rfam family "Bacterial small subunit ribosomal RNA", at positions 28 to 507 of the family's 1533-position model. The record is from RNAcentral.
GACGAACGCUGGCGGCGUGCUUAACACAUGCAAGUCGAACGGAAAGGCCCUGCUUUUGUGGGGUGCUCGAGUGGCGAACGGGUGAGUAACACGUGAGUAACCUGCCCUUGACUUUGGGAUAACUUCAGGAAACUGGGGCUAAUACCGGAUAGGAGCUCCUGCUGCAUGGUGGGGGUUGGAAAGUUUCGGCGGUGGGGGAUGGACUCGCGCCUUAUCAGCUUGUUGGUGGGGUAGUGGCUUACCAAGGCUUUGACGGGUAGCCGGCCUGAGAGGGUGACCGGCCACAUUGGGACUGAGAUACGGCCCAGACUCCUACGGGAGGCAGCAGUGGGGAAUAUUGCACAAUGGGCGGAAGCCUGAUGCAGAAACGCCGCGUGCGGGAUGACGGCCUUCGGGUUGUAAACCGCUUUCGCCUGUGACGAAGCGUGAGUGACGGUAAUGGGUAAAGAAGCACCGGCUAACUACGUG